This is a long non-coding RNA of Helianthus annuus (common sunflower), 1933 nucleotides long. RefSeq lists it as uncharacterized. The record is from RefSeq and is a predicted model, not a curated record. The transcript has 4 exons. NCBI's taxonomy places the organism in Eukaryota, Viridiplantae, Streptophyta, Magnoliopsida, Asterales, Asteraceae.
UCCCCUCCCCUCCCCCUGUUAAGUGGAUCUCUGGAACACAGCAUUACUUUUUAGUCGUUCAAAGUCCAGAUUAGAGAGACAGACAAGCGAUAGAACGGGAGAGAGAGAGAGAUAGAGGAGCGGUGGUGAUGGCGGAACGACCAUUGUCUCCCGCCAGCCACCGUCUUGGCCUUCGGUCAGACCGGUGGUGGGUUGUGGUGGUUUAGACGCGUGAAACGAUGGUGGAAGGCGGUGGUGGACGAGGGUUAAGCAUGAUAGUAUGACGACAAUAAUGUUAUCGGUGAUAGAUGAAGCCGACAAUGGCGGCUGUGGGUUCUAGGGUCCUGUCGUCGAUUCAGAUCAACAGCCGAAACCCUAGGGUUCCGGUGAACGUCAAUGUAGCAACGGCGAGGAGAAACAAGAUGAUGACGAAGAAAGCCUUAAAAUCUAUGGGCUUCUUAACGUCUGAACUGCUAUUGUUGGCUUGAUCUUUGAGGUAUGGUAUAUUUCUAUUACGUUUGAUUGUGUGCUUGCUGUGUUUUACUAGAAUUAGGUUUAUGUGAGGUAAGAUUAUGGCGUUUUGAUCUGUAGUUGGUUGAUACUUUCAGUUGGAUGAGUUGUAGAUUGUUUGUAAUUCGUAACCAUUAUACUUGAAAUUUUCUUUCGGGAAAACUAUCUGAACAAGAAGACAAAGGUUCAUAAGACUCUGCUCCGGAGCACAGGCUCUGAAACAUACGCCCAUGACAAAACUACAUAUUGUUGCAAGCACGAUGUGUUUUGGGAGCUCAGCCACCAUGAACAUGUGUUCCAAAAUCCAAAUGCCACCAAGAAAUAAUAUUAAAGCGGGAAAAUGCCUAACUUGGAUUCAUCUUUUUAUGGCAUCAUCAAUAGUGGUUCAGGGAACAAAAAAAUAUACGAUUGCCAGAGAGAUAUGGUGAAAGGAGUGAGCGCCAGGCAUGACGGCAAGUGGCCAGGCUGUGGCAGAGCAACGACGGUGAUACCGAUUUCCGUCGAGUGCUUGGUUGGGAUUCAUGAAACAGAAGACAAUGAGGCUUAUGGUAGAUCGGUUCGGACACAUAAGCGGCCGUGAUGUCGUACAAUAAGCGCCGAUGAUGGUCCCAUUAGUUUUACACAAGGAGAAUUCUAACUAUAUAUUAUGAUUGUAAUAAUAUAUUAUUGGUUUUUAAAUUAUUACUAGGUUUAAGUAGGCGAUGCCGUCAGUUGAUUGAGAUUUGGCUCAUGAUAUCCCGGAGCAUUGGUUAGCUAAUUUUGUGGUUGAUUUAAUGAAGAUGUAGGUUUCUGAUAUUAGCUUUGAUGAAGCAUAUACACUUGAUGCUACUUGCUAUGCCCCAAAUUUGAUUUGGCCCUAAGAUUUCAUGGAAGCUGCCGGAAAUGUGGUCCGAUCUAAAACCCAGACGCGGUCCGCUUAGGGGCUGUUAACAUCUCCUGAAGGCACCGCUUAACCCUGGUCGGAGAAGACGAUCCGAGUACGGCCAUCGGAAAAGAUAGAUCUUGUAGAUGUCGCUAUGGGUGCGCUGGUAGUUUGGCGGAUGAAGAACAAGAUGGCUGAAGUAGAGAAAGAAAGUGUGUGAAUGUGGGUGCUGGUGCUGGUGUUGUGGUGGUAGACUGGUAGGGCUGGGGACCGAUACAGAGAGAGUGUAUAGAAAGAGGUGAUAACAUCGUUUACUGAUAACUUUCUGAAUUUUGUUAAGGUGAACGGGAUUGUUACCCUUUUGUUCUUUCUAUUUUUUUAACAUAUUAAAAAUAUACAAUACUGUAAAAGUUUAGAAAAGGUUUUCACUAGCUGUGGUAGAGAAGUCUUGAGACUUGGGACAAUAGUAUGAUGGAUAGGUGACUGGGUGUAUUACUGUUUUAAACAUUGAUGUAUUUGAGCAUGCAUGUUCAUUAGUGCUAUUAUGUAAUUUUUUCCCUAUAAUUAACAAAACUUUGCAGA